RNAcentral lists this ribosomal RNA (498 nucleotides) under uncultured bacterium. RNAcentral describes it as "bacterial SSU rRNA". It matches the Rfam family "Bacterial small subunit ribosomal RNA", at positions 791 to 1289 of the family's 1533-position model. The record is from RNAcentral.
UAGUCCACGCCGUAAACGAUGAGUGCUAGUUGUCGGAUUUUUAAUUCGGUGACACAGCUAACGCGUUAAGCACUCCGCCUGGGAAGUACGGCCGCAAGGCUAAAACUCAAAGGAAUUGACGGGGACCCGCACAAGCGGUGGAGCAUGUGGUUUAAUUCGAUGCAACGCGAAGAACCUUACCACCCCUUAACAUCUUGGUCGGGAUUUUGAGAGAUCACUAUCUUCGGUUCGGCCGGACCAAUGAUAGGUGUUGCAUGGCUGUCGUCAGCUCGUGUCGUGAGAUGUUCGGUUAAGUCCGGCAACGAGCGCAACCCCUGUGAAUAGUUGCUAACAUUUAGUUGAGGACUCUAUUCAGACUGCCCGUAUCAAACGGGAGGAAGGUGGGGACGACGUCAAGUCAGUAUGGCCCUUACGCCCAGGGGCUGCACACGUACUACAAUGCCCAGUACAAUGAGAACCGAGACCGUGAGGUGGAGGAAAUCUAUAAAACUGGGACUC